Molecule: RNase P RNA, 356 nt
Filed under: Natronoarchaeum philippinense
Lineage: Archaea; Methanobacteriati; Methanobacteriota; Halobacteria; Halobacteriales; Natronoarchaeaceae
Description: halophilic archaeon 294-194-5 Archaeal RNase P
Rfam family: Archaeal RNase P
About the family: Ribonuclease P (RNase P) is a ubiquitous endoribonuclease, found in archaea, bacteria and eukarya as well as chloroplasts and mitochondria. Its best characterised activity is the generation of mature 5'-ends of tRNAs by cleaving the 5'-leader elements of precursor-tRNAs.
Source: Rfam by way of RNAcentral
GGUAGAGAGAGCCCGGCCUCCGCGAGCCCUCGCGGGCGCGUGAGGAAAGUCCCCCCACCGUCCGGGCAGACGACCGGGCGCAAGCCCGGGGCGGGAGACCGUCGGCACUGGAACAGAAACGACACGUCUCGGCCCGACCGAUGCGGUGUGCGAACCCCGAGCGAAAAAAGCGACCGCGAACAAGCGACGGGGAGCUAACCCACCUAGGAGUGAGGGUCGAGGACCGAUGGAACGGCGAAUCCUCGCCGGUGCAAGUCGGCGUCCCGGCGUGUAAACGCCGCAAGGUAGCCUGGACGCGGGCGCCGACGCUUAGCCGAAUGCCGGGAAGAACAGAAGGGGGCUUACUCCUCUCUGCC